This 301-nucleotide ribosomal RNA is filed under the name uncultured bacterium. RNAcentral describes it as "partial 16S ribosomal RNA". It matches the Rfam family "Bacterial small subunit ribosomal RNA", at positions 509 to 807 of the family's 1533-position model. The record is from RNAcentral.
CAGUCGCCGCGGUAAUACGUAGGUGGCAAGCGUUGUCCGGAAUUAUUGGGCGUAAAGGGCUCGCAGGCGGUUUCCUAAGUCUGAUGUGAAAGCCCCCGGCUCAACCGGGGAGGGUCAUUGGAAACUGGGAAACUUGAGUGCAGAAGAGGAGAGUGGAAUUCCACGUGUAGCGGUGAAAUGCGUAGAGAUGUGGAGGAACACCAGUGGCGAAGGCGACUCUCUGGUCUGUAACUGACGCUGAGGAGCGAAAGCGUGGGGAGCGAACAGGAUUAGAUACCCCCGUAGUCCCUGUCUCUUAUAC